RNAcentral lists this transfer RNA (71 nucleotides) under Felis catus (domestic cat). It matches the Rfam family "tRNA". Rfam says of the family: Transfer RNA (tRNA) molecules are approximately 80 nucleotides in length. Their secondary structure includes four short double-helical elements and three loops (D, anti-codon, and T loops). Lineage: Eukaryota; Metazoa; Chordata; Mammalia; Carnivora; Felidae. The record is from Rfam by way of RNAcentral.
GCCUGGGUGGCUUAGUCGGUUAAGCAUCUGACUUCAGCUCACAGUUCAUGGGUUCAGGCCCGUGUCAGGCU